RNAcentral lists this non-coding RNA (21 nucleotides) under Caenorhabditis elegans. The record is from RNAcentral. Lineage: Eukaryota; Metazoa; Nematoda; Chromadorea; Rhabditida; Rhabditidae.
UCCAGAAAUUCAUGUAUGGCA